GCGGGCGUGGCGGAACGGCAGACGCGUGCGGCUUAGGACCGUAUGGGCUUUGCCCGUGGGAGUUCGAGUCUCCCCGCCCGCACCA
Molecule: transfer RNA, 85 nt
Filed under: Clostridiales bacterium
Lineage: Bacteria; Bacillati; Bacillota; Clostridia; Eubacteriales
Also listed under: 1 other name
Description: tRNA-Leu
Rfam family: tRNA
About the family: Transfer RNA (tRNA) molecules are approximately 80 nucleotides in length. Their secondary structure includes four short double-helical elements and three loops (D, anti-codon, and T loops). Further hydrogen bonds mediate the characteristic L-shaped molecular structure. tRNAs have two regions of fundamental functional importance: the anti-codon, which is responsible for specific mRNA codon recognition, and the 3' end, to which the tRNAs corresponding amino acid is attached (by aminoacyl-tRNA synthetases). tRNAs cope with the degeneracy of the genetic code in two manners: having more than one tRNA (with a specific anti-codon) for a particular amino acid; and 'wobble' base-pairing, i.e. permitting non-standard base-pairing at the 3rd anti-codon position.
Source: RNAcentral